Molecule: long non-coding RNA, 236 nt
Filed under: Gallus gallus (chicken)
Lineage: Eukaryota; Metazoa; Chordata; Aves; Galliformes; Phasianidae
Source: RNAcentral
CAGAAUUCUUUUCUAAAGCUUCAGAGAAAGAGGAACCGUGGGCCAGUUCUGUAUCUUCUGAAGGUCAAACUGCCCUGUAGGAAUAUUUUUGCAAAAUGUUGAGCCUGAUCUUUCAACUUCUGGAUAUAUUUUGGGUGCAUACCUAUACUUCUUGAACAGCCCUCGGAAGAGAUGUUGCUGGGAAGGUGAUGGUUUGCAUGCUCCCAAAAAUAACAUCUUGGAGAGGGGAAGCCUAC